Molecule: long non-coding RNA, 1476 nt
Filed under: Mizuhopecten yessoensis (Yesso scallop)
Lineage: Eukaryota; Metazoa; Mollusca; Bivalvia; Pectinida; Pectinidae
Description: uncharacterized LOC110448501, transcript variant X2
Source: RNAcentral
GAUCGCAUAUUGGUACAGAUGUUGUAUAUAAAUAUUUAUGUUAGUAUUGAUAAUGUAUAUUGUUUUAUACUUAUUUGCAUGAAUCUCGGUUUUUAAAUAUUCCCGCUUCGAGGUGAGUAUGCGUUUGCGAGAGCGUCCGAGAGUGGUAAAAUACUACACGAGAGCCGAUCUGUCCAAGAUGGACGUGUAUGUCAACGUGCCAUAAAAAACCACCCGGACUUCAGACACAUAACACCUGAGAUGUGUGCCUACAGGAGGGGUUAUGGGUGCCAGACCACCCUGCUGCGCAUGCUGGAGGACUGGAAGAGGGCCUUGGAUGACCACCACCAUGUUGGUGCUAUACUAAUGGACCUUUCCAAGGCCUUCGACUGUCUUCCGCAUGACCUGUUCCUCAGGAAACUCUCUGCAUAUGGAGUAGGGGAGGGGGCUGUGCGCCUCCUCCAGAGCUACCUGGGGAACAGGAGCCAGAGGGUGAAGCUGGGGCCCAACACCAGUGAAUGGAGACUACUGAAGAAGGGGGUACCCCAGGGCUCCAUACUGGGACCACUGGAAUGAAAAUACAGCACAGCUUCCAAGGGUCAACACCACCAGAUUUCCAUGAACGGGUUGGUAGGUGAGAGGAAUGUGAACGAGACAACUGGCGCGACACACAUUGGGUCAGUUCCACAAGGGCAGACAACUGGUGCUACACACAGUGGGUCAGUUUUACAAGGGCAGACAACUCAUAGUUGUACUGACGUCAUGCGUCAGUGAGGGAGCAGUCCUCAGGUCAUCUGCGGAACCGGAGGCCUGCAUUAUAGCACAUCGGUGCUAGACCGUUCUCAGCACAUCGGUGCUAAACCCUUCUGCGGUGGGGUAUAUAUCCAUGAUUAGCGGACGUGGAUUAUAUGGUGAAGCGGAACACAAGUUUGUGAGACUUGUUUAGUCCAUCGGAUCCUUUCCAUAUUGUAUUGGGUAUUGCCCACAUGGACAGUGGAACUAUUGGUAUACAAGCGGCAACUGUGACUCCACCAACCGGAGUAAUGACCUUUAGUGUUGAAUGUAUGAAUGUGUGUUUGUGAGUGUGAGUACAUACUUACGGGGGUUUUCUUCAAUAAUUAUUGUAAAUAAACUUGUAGAUAUUGUAUAACAAAUCGUUCUGUAUUCUUUCAGCUACCGACCGGUCGUCCAACGUUACAGUGGGGAUCUCAACCAUUUCCAAGUAAUACACCUUUUUUGGCCCUAGUCCUAAGCCCGGGGGUUCAGCCCCAAAAUUUCCAGUUAAAUAUGGUUGAUAUCCAUCUCUUAUAUCCAGAGAAGAAGUCACUUAAAGCAUUAUAGCCAAAUUGCCCCUUUUUGGCCCCGCCCAUCAGCCCUACUAUUUGUACAAUUUUAAAUCCCCAUCACCUAUCAUCCCCGCCAGUGUACAAUUUUGAAUCCCUGCCUCCCACGAAUGCUUUUGAUCAAAUAUGAUUGAUAUCCAGUGGAUAGUUCUAC